This 251-nucleotide ribosomal RNA is filed under the name uncultured prokaryote. Its description in RNAcentral is "partial 16S rRNA". It matches the Rfam family "Bacterial small subunit ribosomal RNA", at positions 525 to 775 of the family's 1533-position model. The record is from RNAcentral.
ACGGAGGAUCCAAGCGUUAUCCGGAUUUAUUGGGUUUAAAGGGUGCGCAGGCGGAAUAAUAAGUCAGUGGUGAAAUCCUACGGCUCAACUGUAGAACUGCCAUUGAUACUGUUAUUCUUGAGUUUAGUUGAAGUGGGCGGAAUGUGUCAUGUAGCGGUGAAAUGCUUAGAUAUGACACAGAACACCGAUCGCGAAGGCAGCUCACUAAGCUAAAACUGACGCUCAUGCACGAAAGCGUGGGGAUCAAACAG